GUCUGNAACCCGACUACAUGAAGCUGGAAUCGCUAGUAAUCGCGAAUCAGAAUGUCGCGGUGAAUACGUUCCCGGGUCUUGUACACACCGCCCGUCACACCAUGGGAGUCGGAAAUGCCCGAAGUCAGUGACCCAACCGUAAGGAGGGAGCUGCCGAAGGUGGAGCCGGUAACUGGGGUGAAGUCGUAACAAGGUAGC
This 198-nucleotide ribosomal RNA is filed under the name uncultured bacterium. RNAcentral's name for it is "partial 16S ribosomal RNA". It matches the Rfam family "Bacterial small subunit ribosomal RNA", at positions 1303 to 1500 of the family's 1533-position model. The record is from RNAcentral.